CCGCUGGUCGUCUAGUUGGUUUAUGGCGCUGGACUGUAACUGAAAUUUGAUGCUAUCCAGAUGUCGUCGGUUCGAUUCCGACCCAGCGGA
Molecule: transfer RNA, 90 nt
Organism: Aspergillus rambellii
Lineage: Eukaryota; Fungi; Ascomycota; Eurotiomycetes; Eurotiales; Aspergillaceae
Rfam family: tRNA
About the family: Transfer RNA (tRNA) molecules are approximately 80 nucleotides in length. Their secondary structure includes four short double-helical elements and three loops (D, anti-codon, and T loops).
Source: Rfam